CUGUGGUGCAUUGUAGUUGCAUUGCAUGUGUCUCUCAGCUGGGUGCAAUGUUCCUGCAGUGCAAGACAG
RNAcentral lists this microRNA precursor (69 nucleotides) under Oncorhynchus kisutch (coho salmon). RNAcentral's name for it is "mir-33 microRNA precursor family". It matches the Rfam family "mir-33 microRNA precursor family". RNAcentral also lists the same sequence under 4 other names. Lineage: Eukaryota; Metazoa; Chordata; Actinopteri; Salmoniformes; Salmonidae. The record is from Rfam by way of RNAcentral.